Molecule: transfer RNA, 95 nt
Filed under: Bacillota bacterium
Lineage: Bacteria; Bacillati; Bacillota
Description: tRNA-Ser
Rfam family: tRNA
About the family: Transfer RNA (tRNA) molecules are approximately 80 nucleotides in length. Their secondary structure includes four short double-helical elements and three loops (D, anti-codon, and T loops).
Source: RNAcentral
GGAGAGGUGCCAGAGUGGUCGAAUGGGCACGACUGGAAAUCGUGUAGGGGGUGCAAAACACUCUCUCGAGGGUUCGAAUCCCUCUCUCUCCGCCA